Molecule: long non-coding RNA, 1440 nt
Filed under: Rattus norvegicus (Norway rat)
Lineage: Eukaryota; Metazoa; Chordata; Mammalia; Rodentia; Muridae
Description: long non-coding RNA NONRATT028856
Source: RNAcentral
GGGUGAUCUGGGAUAUAUAAUUGUAUAUAAGAUAUUUGAAAAGAUGUAUUUAGUAUUAGGACGAACAACAAACUACAUGGGAAAAUUAUCUCUAGUACAGCUUCUUGAAAUCACUUGUUCAGAAACAGCAAAACACAAUGUCACUAUUUCAUGGGGAGAACUUAAUAUAGAAGGGCUUCAUGCAUUAAGAAAAGGUAGUCAAUCCUAGAGUAAAUGGUUGCUCAGGUUCCUAAAAAAAAACUCCAAUAAUACCCUCCAUGACUGUUUUCUCCCCACUUAUAAAUAGAAUAAAGAAGAAUUCAGUGGUGGGUAUAAAGUUAAUGAAUAAACAGCUUACUUUAACAAUACACAAACAGACUUCUUGGGAUGUUUUUAUGGUGUAGUCUUUACUUAAGUCAUCUUACCACUCAGUAGGGCAUGCCACUAAAGAUGCUAAUUAUGAACCAAGGCUCACACAAGCAUUUUUUAAAAAAAACUGAGCCAAUAUAGAUGGACUUUUGGGGUCUGUCACUUUUUAAAAGUUCUUAAGACAUAAACCAUAUUAGCACCACAGUCUGCCUUCAAUAAUGUACCUAAAAUGUUUUUCAGAACCAGAAGCAUUCAGUUGGACAAACUUUUGUAAAUGCAAAUCAGUAUUACUCUGGGUCAUAUAUUAAGUUUUUAAUAUUAACAGUAGUCUGGUAAAUAUUUAGAAGUCUGACAUUGAGAAACAAAAGCUUGUACCCAAGUAGAAUCUAAUUAAAUUAAAUUAGUUUUUAGCUUAUGUAAAUUCUUUCACAUUUAUUUAUCCAUAGAAUUUAUAUUUAUUUCAUUCCUUUUGUCUCACUGAAAGCUGUCUGCAGGUUCUUUGAUUUGGAUUAGAUGUGUGAAGUACUGUCUUUCGCCAAAAACCUCAAAUUUCCUGUUUUUUUCCCAACGCAGUGGGUUUGUGCUUGUUUGGAGAUCAGUUCAAAAACUAUCUGUACUAUCUGUACUGCCUCUGCUGUUAAGAUUUUAUGUAUAGCAUAAGGAAGCUAGCUCUGACUAUAUUUUCCUAAGAAUAAAGACCUAUUUUUGUAGCAUGUCUUAGGAUCUCCAGGAGUCCAAGAAUUAUUGUGAGUGUCCAUUUCAUCAUUUUUCACUCAACAGCUUUUAAAAAGACACUUGGAAUCUUUAGAGCUCUAUCGUCUUUUGAUCAUGCAAACAUUCAGAGUAACUAGCAAAUGGUGAAAACAAAUUUUUCAACAUUUCUAUUUCUGAGCACAAGACUGGGAGAUGUAUGGAAUAAAUGUUUUGGGCUGGUCUUCAUUGAAUUUUGUUUUGGAAAUACAUGGUUGCAUAUUCGCUUAGUUGAUUUAUGAACUCCAUGAUAAUUUGCUUCUCUGGGAACAUGCUUCACCAUGUAGUGUUCUUCUAUUCUCCAGUUUUAUUUCUGGCAAAUAAAAUUUCUUCGAGGAUUUC